UCCAACUCGUACACAGGGAAGCGAAGGACCAGGAGCAGAUCACACCAACAAACAACCAUAAGCAUUCGACAAAUGAAACUAAUAAACAUUCAUCAAACCCCAAAAUAACACAUGAUCCCUGGGUCACAGACCUAGGCCCAUGACACAGAGUUUGGUUCCUUUAAAGAAGACUAUAUUUAAAAACACACUGAGACGCAUGUUACCUAAGUAAAUUGAAGUUAUUCUAAACUUCCAAUCCCACAGAUGAAGUUCCCAGUUGAAGACAUGUGGCUGUGCCCUGUGAACUAUAAAUAAAUUAGCAUAAUUUGUUGUGAAGCAGUUUCUUGAUGAAUGUGUUAUCCUUAAAUUGGUUUUCAUUGGCAAAAACUGUUUUAAUUUCUUUUUUUUUUUUUAGAUUGUCAACAUUUCUGCAAAGAAAAUACUGCUCAUAGACCCCAUGAGGAAUGAAGGUUUAUGACAGGAAAAUUCUGCGUAACUGAGGGCAUGUAUGAUACUGAGGUAUUAUUCUUAGAAAAAACAUUUCUUGUUUCAUUAUAAAUUGCUUUUUCAACUAGGAAAUAUCUGAGGAUGAGAGGGCAUGAAGACACCAUGGAGUGGCAGUUACAGACUCUGCAACACAAUAAGCAACAGGAUUCCAGCAGUUGCGGAGUUUUACUGUUAAAAUUUGCAGAAAACUACCUUGCUUUUGGAGAGGUCAGUGGUCACUACGGAAGUAGUUGUACUGGAGCGAAUACAGAUAGCUUGCACCCUAUUUGAACAUCGAGGGAACCCUGAGGACUACUGCAUUGUUUGCUCUAUGUUAGAUGCUGAACGCAGCAUGUUUGAAAUGGUGCAGUGUGAUUCUUGCCAAAGAUGGGCACAUUUUGAAUAUGUAAAAUAUAAGGAGAGCAACCUAGAAUAUAAAUGCAAAAAAUGUGAGGAAAACAUGUAACAACUUCUAAUAAAAACAGCUGUCUUUUCCCC
Molecule: long non-coding RNA, 963 nt
Organism: Oreochromis aureus
Lineage: Eukaryota; Metazoa; Chordata; Actinopteri; Cichliformes; Cichlidae
Exons: 4
Source: RefSeq, a predicted model, not a curated record